AGAGUUUGAUCCUGGCUCAGGAUGAACGCUGGCGGCGUGCUUAACACAUGCAAGUCGAACGAAGCACUCUAUUUGAUUUCCUUCGGGAUUGAUUAUUUUGUGACUGAGUGGCGGACGGGUGAGUAACGCGUGGGUAACCUGCCUUGUACAGGGGAAUAACAGUUGGAAACGGCUGCUAAUACCGCAUAAGCGCACAGUACCGCAUGGUAUAGUGUGAAAAACUCCGGUGGUAUAAGAUGGACCCGCGUUUGAUUAGCUAGUUGGUGGGGUAACGGCCUACCAAGGCGACGAUCAAUAGCCGACCUGAGAGGGUGACCGGCCACAUUGGGACUGAGACACGGCCCAAACUCCUACGGGAGGCAGCAGUGGGGAAUAUUGCACAAUGGGCGAAAGCCUGAUGCAGCGACGCCGCGUGAGCGAAGAAGUAUUUCGGUAUGUAAAGCUCUAUCAGCAGGGAAGAUAAUGACGGUACCUGACUAAGAAGCACCGGCUAAAUACGUGCCAGCAGCCGCGGUAAUACGUAUGGUGCAAGCGUUAUCCGGAUUUACUGGGUGUAAAGGGAGCGCAGGCGGUGCGGCAAGUCUGAUGUGAAAGCCCGGGGCUCAACCCCGGUACUGCAUUGGAAACUGUCGUACUAGAGUGUCGGAGGGGUAAGCGGAAUUCCUAGUGUAGCGGUGAAAUGCGUAGAUAUUAGGAGGAACACCAGUGGCGAAGGCGGCUUACUGGACGAUAACUGACGCUGAGGCUCGAAAGCGUGGGGAGCAAACAGGAUUAGAUACCCUGGUAGUCCACGCCAUAAAACGAUGAAUACUAGGUGUCGGGAGGCAUUGCCUUUCGGUGCCGUCGCAAACGCAGUAAGUAUUCCACCUGGGGAGUACGUUCGCAAGAAUGAAACUCAAAGAAAUUGACGGGGACCCGCACAAGCGGUGGAGCAUGUGGUUUAAUUCGAAGCAACGCGAAGAACCUUACCAAGUCUUGACAUCCUUCUGACCGGUACUUAAUCGUACCUUCUCUUCGGAGCAGGAGUGACAGGUGGUGCAUGGUUGUCGUCAGCUCGUGUCGUGAGAUGUUGGGUUAAGUCCCGCAACGAGCGCAACCCUUAUCUUUAGUAGCCAGCGGCUUGGCCGGGCACUCUAGAGAGACUGCCAGGGAUAACCUGGAGGAAGGCGGGGAUGACGUCAAAUCAUCAUGCCCCUUAUGACUUGGGCUACACACGUGCUACAAUGGCGUAAACAAAGGGAAGCAAAGCUGUGAGGCCGAGCAAAUCUCAAAAAUAACGUCUCAGUUCGGACUGUAGUCUGCAACCCGACUACACGAAGCUGGAAUCGCUAGUAAUCGCAGAUCAGAAUGCUGCGGUGAAAACGUUCCUCGGGUCUUGCACACACCGCCCGUCA
Molecule: ribosomal RNA, 1394 nt
Filed under: uncultured bacterium
Lineage: Bacteria
Description: bacterial SSU rRNA
Rfam family: Bacterial small subunit ribosomal RNA
Source: RNAcentral